UGUUCGAAGAAAAAGAAGAGCCCUAAUUACUAGAAUACUUUUAGGAGAUGAAACAUUAGGGUUUCAUUGAUCUUUAAUAAAUGUCGAGUUGGAUGCUCCAGGAAUUCUUGUACAUAAUGACCAACAUCAGAAGGUAGAUCCAACUGAAUUUGUUUUAAAGGACAAUCUUAUCCAAGAAAGAGAAGAAUCGAAAGAAGAAGAACUAGAAGAAGAGGA
RNAcentral lists this long non-coding RNA (216 nucleotides) under Elaeis guineensis (African oil palm). RNAcentral describes it as "long non-coding RNA (EGUI_LNC037890)". Lineage: Eukaryota; Viridiplantae; Streptophyta; Magnoliopsida; Arecales; Arecaceae. The record is from RNAcentral.